CUGUCUGCUUGGCGUCAUAAACGUUGUUGGCUUGUAUUCUCGUUUGUGUUAACAGAUCGAUCUGCGUUUAAGACGCUAUCAACAACUCAGAUUGCCGUAUUCAAAACCUGUCAAAUAAUAUCCAAAUGAACCGUUACAUUGGUCUUACGUUUGUUGUCAUUAUUAUGGCUGGAAUUCUUUUUGAUUGCUCAGCGGAUUCCGUCAUGUGGCGCAGGCGUAGAAGACGACGUGCAGUAGUCACACCCUCUGGUUGGUGUGGUACCUGUAAGGACAUUGAGUGUCGCUUGAUCUUACCCGGAGUKCUUGACGAUGUUUUAAAUGAUUGUGAUUGUGGAGUUGAYUGUUAUUGCUCAUACAGCGAAACGACUAAACACGGUUUGCAAGUGUAUAGAUGUCGACCAAGCUGAUUGACUACGUUUACUGCAUAGAUUGCUGUAUUAGCAAAUAAAUGGUUAUCAAACAUGCACAGCUAAACAGCAGGGAAGUAAGGGUAUCAUGAAAUCAUGAGAACUGAUCAACAUUAUGAAUAAGGAAGUCCCUACUAUUGCACGGCGAGAGCRCGCAUCGGCUCAGACGCRCUACUUAUUUUAAGUACAGAAUAUUUGACCUUAUUCAGUGCCAUAGGCAGUAAGGAGCAAAAUUUAAUAACUUAUAGUGACUACAAAAUGGAAUACCCCCCUAGAUAUAUAAAAAAAUCUCCCAUAGAUAUAUAAAAAAAUCUCCCAUAGAUAUAUAAAAAAAUCUCCCAUAGAAAAGGCAACCAUAAAUACCCACCAUAAUUUUGAUAACGACCAACCACAAAUGUAAUAACAUGAAUGUAAUAAAUUGAACCAUAAAUGUAAUAAUCUAGAACCACCAUGAUUUUAUAGCUUUUAAUAGCAYUAGCUGACGGUUUUGACCGCCAUUUUGUUUGGGUAGGCAAAGUCUCGCAAAAUAACAAGGAAACAGUGUGAAAUCGAUGUCAAAUAAUCGCCUAAUAGCUGGCACUGAUCUGCCUCAACUGGAUGAUUUACUAUAUCACAUUUAUGGCAUCUAUGUUGGCAAUUACGUUUAUAUAUGGAUAAUGAAGUUAUAUAACAUGUAUAGUAAGGAUUUACAACAAUUAGCCAAUAUUUGUAGGCAAAACUUGUAAACAAACAAACAAACAGUUUUAUUUAUGAAUCAUCCUUAUAGUUACAUGUGAAAUUUACCCUCGCAGUUAGUCCAAGACUAUUCGAGGCGAGGGCGAUGAUAAUGAAGGAGAAAAACUAGUAUAAAAAUGUCAAAAAUCAGUCACAGUCUGAGUACGUAUAUUAGGAAAUUAUUCAAUAAAUAUUAGGUUAAAUAUAAAAUGAUGACAAAGGUGUUCCUCAGUAUGAAGCCUUUAGCUCGUUAAUAAUCUGAUCGAUAUCUAAAAAAUCGUCUGCUUUUUCUAAAAUCUCGAGAGAGAUGCUCUUAAUCAGUGUCUUGAAUUUGAACUUAUUCAGACUUUUAAUAGAAACAGGGAGACUAUUCCAGAUUUUAGAGCCCAUAAAACGAAAAGAACGCCUACAAGAUUCAGUUCUGACGCCAUCAACGUAAAUACAUUUAUUUGAUGUUGAUCGUGUCGUGUAUCGAUGGACAUUUUCCAAUGAUCUGAAUAAGCAGUUCAAAUUGUCUGGGGCUUGACUGUUGAAAAUAUCAUGCAUCAUAAUGCAUACCCGCUCAAAAAACAUGAAGUUGAUGGGAAGUGAAUACUUGUGUCGUGAAAAUCGGACUUUGAAGAGUGGCUGUCAUUUUGUUGGGUUUUGUAAACAAAUGUAAUAUAUUGAGUAUAUAUUACAACAGAAGUCUGCAUUUAUUAAUCACGUGCUUGAAAAAUCUCAAGUGUUAACUCGUCUUUAGAGAGGAUAUAACUAUUUUUGUUGUUGAUGAUGAAAUGUAAAGGUCAAAUUAACCGCACAACUUUUGCCUACAACGCAUUACAUGCAACAUGCCUAAGUCAUCCCUACAACCUGGAUGCAACUUAACUGUCAUCUAUCACACACUUAUCCUGAAUCACUACAACAGUUGUAGCCAUGUUGUAAGAGACGACUUGGACAGUGAAGUCUUUGAUUUGAUUGGUUCAAAUAUUCCGCCAAUUGCCAUGUAUGUAUUCUGUGCGGCUUCUAUUGGAAGUCCUUACAAUCAAUAAUUAGUACAUUUAUACUUUAAUACCCUUUUCUGAAAAUAAACAAAAUAAAAGAAACA
Exaiptasia diaphana is the source of this 2208-nucleotide long non-coding RNA. RefSeq lists it as uncharacterized. The record is from RefSeq and is a predicted model, not a curated record. NCBI's taxonomy places the organism in Eukaryota, Metazoa, Cnidaria, Anthozoa, Actiniaria, Aiptasiidae. The transcript is spliced from 3 exons.